RNAcentral lists this transfer RNA (84 nucleotides) under Oceanispirochaeta sp. RNAcentral describes it as "tRNA-Leu". It matches the Rfam family "tRNA". From Rfam's summary of the family: Transfer RNA (tRNA) molecules are approximately 80 nucleotides in length. RNAcentral also lists the same sequence under 1 other name. The record is from RNAcentral. Lineage: Bacteria; Pseudomonadati; Spirochaetota; Spirochaetia; Spirochaetales; Spirochaetaceae.
GCCGGCGUGGUGAAAUUGGUAUACACGGUAGACUCAAAAUCUACUGGCAGUGAUGUCGUAUGGGUUCAAGUCCCAUCGCCGGUA